GUAAGGAAUAUUGGACAAUGGACGCAAGUCUGAUCCAGCCAUGCCGCGUGAAGGAUUAAGGUCCUCUGGAUUGUAAACUUCUUUUAUAAGGGACGAAAAAAGGCUUUUCUAAGUCGUCUGACGGUACCUUAUGAAUAAGCACCGGCUAACUCCGUGCCAGCAGCCGCGGUAAUACGGCGGGUGCAAGCGUUAUCCGGAUUCACUGGGUUUAAAGGGUGCGUAGGAGGGCAGGUAAGUCAGUGGUGAAAUCCUAGAGCUUAACUCUAGAACUGCCAUUGAUACUAUCGGUCUUGAAUAUUGUGGAGGUAAGCGGAAUAUGUCAUGUAGCGGUGAAAUGCUUAGAUAUGACAUAGAACACCUAUUGCGAAGGCAGCUUACUACGCAUAUAUUGACGCUGAGGCACGAAAGCGUGGGGAUCAAACAGGAUUAGAAACCCUUGUAGUCC
This 445-nucleotide ribosomal RNA is filed under the name uncultured bacterium. RNAcentral's name for it is "partial 16S ribosomal RNA". It matches the Rfam family "Bacterial small subunit ribosomal RNA", at positions 354 to 796 of the family's 1533-position model. The record is from RNAcentral.